Molecule: ribosomal RNA, 426 nt
Filed under: uncultured Actinomycetes bacterium
Lineage: Bacteria; Bacillati; Actinomycetota; Actinomycetes
Description: bacterial SSU rRNA
Rfam family: Bacterial small subunit ribosomal RNA
Source: RNAcentral
GCGGCCUAUCAGCUUGUUGGUGGGGUAAUGGCUCACCAAGGCGACGACGGGUAGCCGGCCUGAGAGGGCGACCGGCCACACUGGGACUGAGACACGGCCCAGACUCCUACGGGAGGCAGCAGUGGGGAAUAUUGGGCAAUGGAGGAAACUCUGACCCAGCGACGCCGCGUGCGGGAUGAAGGCCUUCGGGUUGUAAACCUCUUUCAGUAGGGAAGAAGCGAAAGUGACGGUACCUAAAGAAGAAGCACCGGCUAACUAUGAGCCAGCAGCCGCGGUAAUACAUAGGGUGCAAGCGUUGUCCGGAGUUAUUGGGCGUAAAGAGCUCGUAGGUGGUUCGUCACGUCGGAUGUGAAAAUCUGGGGCUUAACCCCAGACCUGCAUUCGAUACGGGCGAGCUAGAGUGUGGUAGGGGAGACUGGAAUUCCU